This 972-nucleotide ribosomal RNA is filed under the name Klebsiella sp. Its description in RNAcentral is "bacterial SSU rRNA". It matches the Rfam family "Bacterial small subunit ribosomal RNA", at positions 46 to 1016 of the family's 1533-position model. The record is from RNAcentral. Lineage: Bacteria; Pseudomonadati; Pseudomonadota; Gammaproteobacteria; Enterobacterales; Enterobacteriaceae.
GCCCUAACACAUGCAAGUCGAGCGGUAGCACAGAGAGCUUGCUCUCGGGUGACGAGCGGCGGACGGGUGAGUAAUGUCUGGGAAACUGCCUGAUGGAGGGGGAUAACUACUGGAAACGGUAGCUAAUACCGCAUAAUGUCGCAAGACCAAAGUGGGGGACCUUCGGGCCUCAUGCCAUCAGAUGUGCCCAGAUGGGAUUAGCUAGUAGGUGGGGUAACGGCUCACCUAGGCGACGAUCCCUAGCUGGUCUGAGAGGAUGACCAGCCACACUGGAACUGAGACACGGUCCAGACUCCUACGGGAGGCAGCAGUGGGGAAUAUUGCACAAUGGGCGCAAGCCUGAUGCAGCCAUGCCGCGUGUAUGAAGAAGGCCUUCGGGUUGUAAAGUACUUUCAGCGGGGAGGAAGGCGAUAAGGUUAAUAACCUUGUCGAUUGACGUUACCCGCAGAAGAAGCACCGGCUAACUCCGUGCCAGCAGCCGCGGUAAUACGGAGGGUGCAAGCGUUAAUCGGAAUUACUGGGCGUAAAGCGCACGCAGGCGGUCUGUCAAGUCGGAUGUGAAAUCCCCGGGCUCAACCUGGGAACUGCAUUCGAAACUGGCAGGCUAGAGUCUUGUAGAGGGGGGUAGAAUUCCAGGUGUAGCGGUGAAAUGCGUAGAGAUCUGGAGGAAUACCGGUGGCGAAGGCGGCCCCCUGGACAAAGACUGACGCUCAGGUGCGAAAGCGUGGGGAGCAAACAGGAUUAGAUACCCUGGUAGUCCACGCCGUAACGAUGUCGAUUUGAGGUUGUGCCCUUGAGCGUGGCUUCCGGAGCUAACGCGUUAAAUCGACCGCUGGGAGUACGGCCGCAAGGUUAAACUCAAAUGAAUGACGGGGCCGCCAAAGCGUGGGAGCAUGUGCUAAUCGAAUGCAACGCGAUGACUACUGACUGACUCCCAUGAACCUUGACCAAUGAAACUGCGCAGUUCUGUAG